Columba livia (rock pigeon) is the source of this 2378-nucleotide long non-coding RNA. RefSeq lists it as uncharacterized. NCBI's taxonomy places the organism in Eukaryota, Metazoa, Chordata, Aves, Columbiformes, Columbidae. The record is from RefSeq and is a predicted model, not a curated record. The transcript has 2 exons.
GCACAGCAGGAUGUGGAAGUGAUCCACCGCGCGUGUUGAGCACCAGGAGGCCAGGCAGGCACAGCAGGAUGUGGAAGUGAUCCACCGCGCGUGUUGAGCACCACUGUCCCACGUGAAUACCAUUGUUAAGGAGAAGAUGGCUCAUUGACUCAACGUCAGGGGAAGCAUUUCUGGAGAGACUGUUCCAUAACGAUCCUCAAACCACCAGCACCGCACUGACUGCAAAGUCUCUCUGUGCACUCAAGGGAGCUUUGAAAAGAUGCAGUGAUUGUUUGUUUGAAGGGAUGGACAGCUCUUGCAGAACCUUGGCACCCUCCCCAGGCUGUAAUGCCACAAUUCUUCUGCUUUGGAAAAGGUUGCUGGCUACAGAGCAUUAACAAGGACAAACCUGGCACAGGCAGAGUCAACAGUGAGUUUUCCAGCACACACCUGCCUGUGACAUCCACCUUGUCUGCAAAAGCUGAUGGGCAUGGAAGGGAACAGGACAACCUGGGAGUGUCUUCAUGGGCAGCAAGGCACUUGGUCUUCAUGUUGGGCGUGAUGGCAAGAGGGCUGGAGAGGAGCAUUGGUGAGGGAGACCACCUGAGACCACCAGCUUAUAUUACAGAGGUCACAGCCGGAACAGCUUCAGUGCGACCAGAGCUGCAACACCAGCCUGUGCAAGCCAAGGAACUGACCCCAAAAAGCAAAUCUUAGCGGGGCAGGUGACAAAACAAACGAACAAGCCGACAAACAAAACCAAACCCAACCAAACAAAAAACCAAAAACCAAACAGAAAUAAGAUCACAUGCAGGACACUGCCCCUAUAAACGGCCUCUUCCCUAGAAAAGCAAAUUUGGAGGCACAGAGCAUUUCUAUAUUGUGAUAAGGUGCAGCCUGCAGGACCCCACUGGACUAGAAGAGAUUUCCAGCAGUGCCUCUGAGCUCUUUCCCUCAGGACUGCCCCAUGAAGAGCUCCCGUGCCAGCCAUUGCCUGCGAACGCUUUGGCUCUCCACCCAUGAGCAGCCCAACACAAACUGGGGACGGCUGUUGAUAACAGAGCUCCUCAGCCCUCCCACGGCAGAUCCGCAUUUUCUCUUGCUCCUACUCACCCAGUGGCCCCAGCGUUACCACCUCCAUACAGAGCCCCAGAGAGUGUGUUACAAAGCACUUCAGACCUGGUGGUCCUUGCUUUACCUUUAGCGUUGAUAUAUUUUAUUAGCAAGGUGCACCUUGGCACUAAAGGAUCGGUGGUGCUGUACAGGGUGCAAGGACCCACUGAAACCGAUGCUUCAUCAUGUUUGGGGCUAUAUACACAGUGGAACAUAGUCCUUAUCCCAAAGAGUUCAGGCUCUGGCGUGGUAAGACCAAGAGGUGCCCUAGUAGCACAGUCACUGUGAACUGGCUUACACAGCCAAUAAUGGGCCUGAUCUCAGGGUAAAAUAGAUAUGUUUUUAAAAUAGAUAUGCUUUUAAAAAAAUACAUAUACUUUUUUGCUGGGCUAGGUUGAGUGGGGAUAAGAUCCCCCACUGGGAGCUCCAUGCCCAGGCUGGGGGUGUGACGGCCCUUGCUGCGGACCUCUCAUCCAGGGCCACGGUCACUCCCCCACACUUGCUGUAGAAACACAGGACAAAAACAACUAAAUGCAGCAGAGAAGCUGCAGAAUCUGAAGCCACCAGGUCUGUCUUACCAGCCUCUUCGUCUCCUCACAUGGCUUGAUGCAUUUGUCAAGGUCUGAACUGCCAGGUGAGAUAAGGAAGUAUGCACCCCCCACUGCUUACAGCCCUGCUGAACCCGGGGCAGCGGCAGCGGGAGCCGAACCGGCCCCGACGCUUGGUGCGCUGUGACUGCCUGCGAGUGACGAGGACAGCAGGCGCGUGGCAAACCCGAUUGCUGCCUGGAGGUGGUUUCAAUAGAGAAAUUUGGUGUCAGGAUCACUUCUGGGCCAUUAACAUGUCUUUGAGCUGCUCACAGCAAUGAAGGAUGAAAAGGGGCUGGUGGGCGGUGGGAGGGCAGGAGGAGCAGGCGAGUGACCGUGAACUGUGAGAGAUGCUCCGUGCUGUUUUCUGGAAGUGCCCGACAACCCCAGUCCUGACUGUCUGUUCCAGAACUUCAUUCAAAGCUUAAUUAAUUAGGAACUUAAUUCCUUUUGGGUUACAUGUUAAAAGAAACCCUGUUAGCAAGUAGUUUUCCCACACAGAUAGAUGAGAGGCCAAGACUAACGAAUCUGAUGAAAAUUUGUUGAAAAUGUUGAAGUACUCAGAUGUAAAACCUCCCAGUGCCCAGAUGUCCUUUCAGCUCAUGGUUUGCCAGACUUGGCCCACAACACUUUCCUUCCUGCUCCUUUAUUUGAAGGGUGAAUAAAUAUAGCUCUGAACAAAGAAAGUGUUAAGAAAAA